CACGUAGGGGGCAAGCGUUGUCCGGAUUUAUUGGGCGUAAAGAGCUCGUAGGUGGUUCGGUAAGUCGGGUGUUAAACCCCCAGGCUCAACCUGGGGACGCCACUCGAUACUGCUGUGACUAGAGUCCGGUAGGGGAGCGUGGAAUUCCUGGUGUAGCGGUGAAAUGCGCAGAUAUCAGGAGGAACACCGAUGGCGAAGGCAGCUCGCUGGGACGGUACUGACGCUGAGGCGCGAAAGCGUGGGGAGCGAACAGG
This 254-nucleotide ribosomal RNA is filed under the name uncultured bacterium. Its description in RNAcentral is "partial 16S ribosomal RNA". It matches the Rfam family "Bacterial small subunit ribosomal RNA", at positions 524 to 776 of the family's 1533-position model. The record is from RNAcentral.